Molecule: ribosomal RNA, 598 nt
Filed under: uncultured bacterium
Lineage: Bacteria
Description: bacterial SSU rRNA
Rfam family: Bacterial small subunit ribosomal RNA
Source: RNAcentral
GGCUCAGAACGAACGCUGGCGGCGUGGAUAAGACAUGCAAGUCGAACGAGAGAAUCGCUAGCUUGCUAAUAAUUCUCUAGUGGCGCACGGGUGAGUAACACGUGAGUAACCUGCCCCCGAGAGCGGGAUAGCCCUGGGAAACUGGGAUUAAUACCGCAUAGUAUCGAAAGAUUAAAGCAGCAAUGCGCCUGGGGAUGGGCUCGCGGCCUAUUAGUUAGUUGGUGAGGUAACGGCUCACCAAGGCGAUGACGGGUAGCCGGUCUGAGAGGAUGUCCGGCCACACUGGAACUGAGACACGGUCCAGACACCUACGGGUGGCAGCAGUCGAGAAUCAUUCACAAUGGGGGAAACCCUGAUGGUGCGACGCCGCGUGGGGGAACGAAGGUCUUCGGAUUGUAAACCCCUGUCAUGUGGGAGCAAAUUAAAAAGAUAGUACCACAAGAGGAAGAGACGGCUAACUCUGUGCCAGCAGCCGCGGUAAUACAGAGGUCUCAAGCGUUGUUCGGAAUCACUGGGCGUAAAGCGUGCGUAGGCUGUUUCGUAAGUCGUGUGUGAAAGGCGCGGGCUCAACCCGCGGACGGCACAUGAUACUGCGAGA